AUCAUCUAGAACACUUGAUAGUUCAUCCUUAAGAACAUAUCUAUAUGAAGUGAUGGCAAUCGUAAAUAGCCGACCCAUAACAACACAAUUACUCAACGAUCCUACUGGACCACAACCACUUACACCCAACCUUCUUUUGACAAUGAAAUCGUCAAUAAUACUGCCUCCACCAGGAGAUUUUGUAAAGGAAGACCUUUACCUUCGUAAAAGAUGGCGUCGAGUGCAGUAUCUGGCUAACGAAUUUUGGCAAAGAUGGAAAAAGGAAUAUUUGUUGAGCCUACAACAAAGACAAAAGUGGCACAAAACAAACAGAAAUGCGAAAGUCAAUGACAUCGUCAUAAUACAAGAUGAUACAAUGCAGAGAAAUGAUUGGAAGCUGGCAAAAGUUACUGCUGUUUACCCAAGUCAAGAUGGCUGCAUACGAAAAGUGCAGCUACUAAUAAGUGACUCCACAUUAGAUAACCAUGGAAGGAAACUGAGUAAACCUGUCCAUCUAGUAAGGCCAAUCCACAAGACUGUCACAUUACUGGAAGCUGAUUAGCACAGUUCAAAUUUCAUUCUGGAAAUCACAAGUGAUUGGUGGGAGUGUAGCUGCCGUCAGAAGCAAUGCUUAUAUAUUACACUCUAUAAACAAAAACUUUACAUUAAAAGGUCAAUAAAUAGUUAAAAUGUUCAAAUUAAUCAUUAGAAUAAAUAAGUAAUGUACAUUUGUUGUUAUUGCAUGUUAAUUCAUUUAAAGUUAUUUAACUAAAACUAUAAGGGGGAGGGGGGAACCUUUUCUUGUUAUGUUUAGCUUGGGAAUUAUUUCAUUGUUGCAAUGAAGAUAUUCUUCCGAUCCACUACAAGUAGUUCAGCCACAAGGUGCUGUGCUAAAACACGUUUUUAAGGAUUCAAAAGUACAAAGAAGUUUGUUAAAGAGAAACUGCAACCCUUCAAGUUUAUUCCUCUUGAGUUAGAGAGGCCAAUGAGUUCUGACGGCAAUAUUGGGACAUAAAGGAGUGCAAGGCUAGAAUGUACAAGACAUACUACAGACUCGUGUCCGAAUAAAUGUCAGUUAAAAUCAA
Danio rerio (zebrafish) is the source of this 1064-nucleotide non-coding RNA. The record is from RefSeq and is a predicted model, not a curated record. NCBI's taxonomy places the organism in Eukaryota, Metazoa, Chordata, Actinopteri, Cypriniformes, Danionidae.